AGGUGGCACAGAAUCGGAGGCCCCGACUGUUUACUAAAAACACAACACAGUGCAAUCAUAAAUAUGGUAGUAUACUGUNNGAAAUUUGCCCGAUGCCAUUAAUAUAAGAAAAGUUAUGGUUUUGUUUAAUAAAACAAUACUGUGAUCUAUCGAAAAUCUGGUUAAUAGCGGUCUUAACUAUGAGGAUCCUAAGGUAGCAAAAUCAAUUGGCCAUUAAAUGUGGUCCGGUAUCAAUAAUGUAACGAUGGUCUCACUGUCUCUACAACUUGCUCAGUGAAAUUGAAUUACGCGUGCAGAUGCGCGUUGCCUCCAGGGGGACGGGAAGACCC
Molecule: ribosomal RNA, 329 nt
Filed under: Pseudosperma sororium
Lineage: Eukaryota; Fungi; Basidiomycota; Agaricomycetes; Agaricales; Inocybaceae
Description: LSU rRNA
Rfam family: Bacterial large subunit ribosomal RNA
Source: RNAcentral